This 390-nucleotide RNase P RNA is filed under the name Zoogloea sp. RNAcentral describes it as "RNase P RNA component class A". It matches the Rfam family "Bacterial RNase P class A". Rfam says of the family: Ribonuclease P (RNase P) is a ubiquitous endoribonuclease, found in archaea, bacteria and eukarya as well as chloroplasts and mitochondria. The record is from RNAcentral. Lineage: Bacteria; Pseudomonadati; Pseudomonadota; Betaproteobacteria; Rhodocyclales; Zoogloeaceae.
GAAGUUCGCCAGGCAAUCGCGGUGUGUCCGCACAUCGAGGAAAGUCCGGGCCCCAUAGAGCAGGAUGCCGGCUAACGGCCGGGCGCCAUAGCCUUCGGGUGAAAGCGACGGAAAGUGCAACAGAGAGCAGACCGCCGAUGGCUCCUCGCGGAGAUCAGGCAAGGGUGAAACGGUGGGGUAAGAGCCCACCGCGGACGUGGUGACACGGACGGCACGGUAAACCCCAUCCGGGGCAAGGCCAAAUAGGGGGACGCUGACGCUGCUCGCGGAGUCCCCGGGUAGGCUGCUAGAGCGGCGCGGCAACGCGUCGACCAGAGGAAUGAUUGCCCGGCGGGCCGGUUUUCGGACGGGUCCGCUCGACAGAACCCGGCUUAUCGGCGGACUUCCCAA